This 829-nucleotide ribosomal RNA is filed under the name Pseudomonas sp. RNAcentral describes it as "bacterial SSU rRNA". It matches the Rfam family "Bacterial small subunit ribosomal RNA", at positions 48 to 874 of the family's 1533-position model. The record is from RNAcentral. Lineage: Bacteria; Pseudomonadati; Pseudomonadota; Gammaproteobacteria; Pseudomonadales; Pseudomonadaceae.
GCUACCAUGCAGUCGAGCGGAUGACGGGAGCUUGCUCCUUGAUUCGACGGCGGACGGGUGAGUAAUGCCUAUGAAUCUGCCUGGUAGUGGGGGACAGCGUUUCGAAAGGAACGCUAAUACCGCAUACGUCCUACGGGAGAAAGCAGGGGACCUUCGGGCCUUGCGCUAUCAGAUGAACCUAGGUCGGAUUAGCUAGUUGGUGAGGUAAUGGCUCACCCAGGCGACGAUCCAUAACUGGUCUGAGAGGAUGAUCAAUCACACUGGAACUGAGACACAGUCCAGACUCCUACGGGAGGCAGCAGUGGGGAAUAUUGGACAAUGGGCGAAAGCCUGAUCCAGCCAUGCCGCGUGUGUGAAGAAGGUCUUCGGAUUGUAAAGCACUUUAAGUUGGGAGGAAGGGCAGUAAGUUAAUACCUUGCUGUUUUGACGUUACCGACAGAAUAAGCACCGGCUAACUCUGUGCCAGCAGCCGCGGUAAUACAGAGGGUGCAAGCGUUAAUCGGAAUUACUGGGCGUAAAGCGCGCGUAGGUGGUUCGUUAAGUUGGAUGUGAAAGCCCCGGGCUCAACCUGGGAACUGCAUCCAAAACUGGCGAGCUAGAGUACGGUAGAGGGUGGUGGAAUUUCCUGUGUAGCGGUGAAAUGCGUAGAUAUAGGAAGGAACACCAGUGGCGAAGGCGACCACCUGGACUGAUACUGACACUGAUGUGCGAAAGCGUGGGGAGCAAAAAAGAUUAGAUACCCUGGUAGUCCACGCCGUAAACGAUGUCAACUAGUCGUUGGAAUCCUUGAUAUUUUAGUGGCGCAGCUAACGCAUUAAGUUGACCGCCU